GCACUUACCUGGCAGGGGAGACGCCAUGAUCAAUCAGGUGGUUUUCCCAGGGCAGGUGAUUGUCUCUGAUAUGUCCUCCACAGGAGGUCUAUGUUGAGCAGAUUCUUUUUGGUGUUGGGUGGUGGAACCGGAGUGUGCUCCAUCCACUC
Molecule: small nuclear RNA, 149 nt
Filed under: Crocodylus porosus (Australian saltwater crocodile)
Lineage: Eukaryota; Metazoa; Chordata; Crocodylia; Crocodylidae
Description: U1 spliceosomal RNA (ENSCPRG00005013548.1)
Rfam family: U1 spliceosomal RNA
About the family: U1 is a small nuclear RNA (snRNA) component of the spliceosome (involved in pre-mRNA splicing). Its 5' end forms complementary base pairs with the 5' splice junction, thus defining the 5' donor site of an intron. There are significant differences in sequence and secondary structure between metazoan and yeast U1 snRNAs, the latter being much longer (568 nucleotides as compared to 164 nucleotides in human).
Source: RNAcentral